Molecule: transfer RNA, 95 nt
Filed under: Turicibacter sanguinis PC909
Lineage: Bacteria; Bacillati; Bacillota; Erysipelotrichia; Erysipelotrichales; Turicibacteraceae
Description: tRNA-Ser
Rfam family: tRNA
About the family: Transfer RNA (tRNA) molecules are approximately 80 nucleotides in length.
Source: RNAcentral
CGGAGGAAUACCCAAGUCCGGCUGAAGGGAUCGGUCUUGAAAACCGACAGUACGUGAGAGCGUAGCGGGGGUUCGAAUCCCUCUUCCUCCGCCAU